Molecule: ribosomal RNA, 429 nt
Filed under: Pseudomonadota bacterium
Lineage: Bacteria; Pseudomonadati; Pseudomonadota
Description: Proteobacteria bacterium partial 16S ribosomal RNA
Rfam family: Bacterial small subunit ribosomal RNA
Source: RNAcentral
UGGGGAAUAUUGGACAAUGGGCGAAAGCCUGAUCCAGCCAUGCCGCGUGUGUGAAGAAGGUCUUCGGAUUGUAAAGCACUUUAAGUUGGGAGGAAGGGCAGUAAGCGAAUACCUUGCUGUUUUGACGUUACCGACAGAAUAAGCACCGGCUAACUCUGUGCCAGCAGCCGCGGUAAUACAGAGGGUGCAAGCGUUAAUCGGAAUUACUGGGCGUAAAGCGCGCGUAGGUGGUUCGUUAAGUUGAAUGUGAAAGCCCCGGGCUCAACCAGGGAACUGCAUCCAAAACUGGCGAGCUAGAGUAGGGCAGAGGGUGGUGGAAUUUCCUGUGUAGCGGUGAAAUGCGUAGAUAUAGGAAGGAACACCAGUGGCGAAGGCGAGCACCUGGGCUCAUACUGACACUGAGGUGCGAAAGCGUGGGGAGCAAACAGG